GGGGAAUAUUGCACAAUGGGGGAAACCCUGAUGCAGCGACGCCGCGUGAGCGAAGAAGUAUUUCGGUAUGUAAAGCUCUAUCAGCAGGGAAGAAGAAAUGACGGUACCUGACUAAGAAGCACCGGCUAAAUACGUGCCAGCAGCCGCGGUAAUACGUAUGGUGCAAGCGUUAUCCGGAUUUACUGGGUGUAAAGGGAGCGCAGGCGGGAAGACAAGUUGGAAGUGAAAUCUAUGGGCUCAACCCAUAAACUGCUUUCAAAACUGUUUUUCUUGAGUAGUGCAGAGGUAGGCGGAAUGUAUGGUGUAGCGGUGAAAUGCUUAGAUAUUAGGAGGAACAUCAGUGGCGAAGGCGGCUUACUGGGCUUUAACUGACGCUGAGGCUCGAAAGUGUGGGUAGCAAACAGGAUUAGAUACCCUGGUAGUCCACACCGUAAACGAUGAUUACUAGGUGUUGGAGGAUUGACCCCUUCAGUGCCGCAGUUAACACAAUAAGUAAUCCACCUGGGGAGUACGACCGCAAGGUUGAAACUCAAAGGAAUUGACGGGGGCCCGCACAAGCAGUGGAGUAUGUGGUUUAAUUCGACGCAACGCGAAGAACCUUACCAAGUCUUGACAUCCCUUGACAGGCAUAGAAAUAUGUUUUCUCUUCGGAGCAAGGAGACAGGUGGUGCAUGGUUGUCGUCAGCUCGUGUCGUGAGAUGUUGGGUUAAGUCCCGCAACGAGCGCAACCCUUAUGGUCAGUUACUACGCAAGAGGACUCUGGCCAGACUGCCGUUGACAAAACGGAGGAAGGUGGGGAUGACGUCAAAUCAUCAUGCCCUUUAUGACUUGGGCUACACACGUACUACAAUGGCGUUAAACAAAGAGAAGCAAGACCGCGAGGUGGAGCAAAACUCAGAAACAACGUCCCAGUUCGGACUGCAGGCUGCAACUCGCCUGCACGAAGUCGGAAUUGCUAGUAAUCGUGGAUCAGCAUGCCACGGUGAAUACGUUCCCG
This 997-nucleotide ribosomal RNA is filed under the name uncultured bacterium. RNAcentral's name for it is "bacterial SSU rRNA". It matches the Rfam family "Bacterial small subunit ribosomal RNA", at positions 356 to 1376 of the family's 1533-position model. The record is from RNAcentral.